Molecule: ribosomal RNA, 460 nt
Filed under: uncultured bacterium
Lineage: Bacteria
Description: partial 16S ribosomal RNA
Rfam family: Bacterial small subunit ribosomal RNA
Source: RNAcentral
CCUACGGGUGGCAGCAGUGAGGAAUAUUGGUCAAUGGGCGAGAGCCUGAACCAGCCAAGUCGCGUGAGGGAAGACGGUCCUAUGGAUUGUAAACCUCUUUUGUAGGGGAGCAAAAAGGCCUCGUGAGGCCACAAGUGAGGGUACCCUAAGAAAAAGCAUCGGCUAACUCCGUGCCAGCAGCCGCGGUAUUACGGGGGAUGCGAGGGUUAUUGGGAUUUGUGGGGUUUAAAGGGUGCGUGGGGGGACUGGAAAGUCAGCGGUAAAAUCGCGAGGCUCAACCUGUUGCCGCCGUUGAAACUGUCGGGCUUGAGUGGGCGAGAGGUAUGCGGAAUGCGUGGUGUAGCCGUGAAAUGCAUAGAUAUCACGCAGAACUCCGAUUGCGAAGGCAGCCUACCGGCGCCCGACUGACGCUGAGGCACGAAAGCGUGGGGAUCGAACAGGAUUAGAUACCCUUGUAGUC